UUUCAGAAACUAUGGGAUUGGACUGCAAUUUUUGCUAGGGUUUCUUCUUCUUCUUCUUUUUCCUCCUCCCAUGGCCGACCCUAACACCAUUGUUGCCUAUCUUCCACUCCGAUUUGCCUCCUUGCUCGCCGUCGACCAUCGACCACCGCCCCGUGGCCACCGCUUCAUCACCGUCGGUGAAGAAAAUCUCGAGGUUAUUGAACCCGGGAUCGAGGAUUAGAGCGAAUCUUUCAGAGUUCAUCGUUUAGACCAAGGUGAGGGAACUCGACAACCCACGGACACAUUUUUAUUAGACAGUCUCUCGCAAGAAUUCAAAAACUCUCAUGGCUUCGUUACACCACGUUGCUCAAGGAACGCCAUAACACUCCGACCUCGAUAACCUUCCUUAUUCUUCUCCGUCGUCUUCACUCUGCAACUCCUCGCUGCUUCACCCAACUCAUGAUUUCUCUUUAGGACAACCAUUGACGCGGUUUCAGAUUUAUCUGUUCGAAAUGGAUAUGCUUCAGUUUUGUUUUGUUUUUCUGUUUCCUUGAUCUUUCUGUUCAUGUAGAGCUUUUGUUCGUUGCUUA
Long non-coding RNA from Tarenaya hassleriana, 569 nucleotides. RefSeq lists it as uncharacterized. The transcript is spliced from 2 exons. Lineage: Eukaryota; Viridiplantae; Streptophyta; Magnoliopsida; Brassicales; Cleomaceae. The record is from RefSeq and is a predicted model, not a curated record.